Gambusia affinis (western mosquitofish) is the source of this 1329-nucleotide long non-coding RNA. RefSeq lists it as uncharacterized. The record is from RefSeq and is a predicted model, not a curated record. The transcript is spliced from 3 exons. Lineage: Eukaryota; Metazoa; Chordata; Actinopteri; Cyprinodontiformes; Poeciliidae.
UCUUUCGAAAUACUCUGUAUCUCAGGGCCGUGCAGAGACCUUUGGAGGCCAAAGUCGGAGAACUGCUAUUGCCAUUUAUUAUUAUUUUUUACUCAUCUACUGAACUCUCUACGGUAGUAAUUCAUCAAGAUGGAGCUAAUGUAAACAUCGUGUCCAAGUCGUCUGCCUUUAUCACUGCAAUGGCUCUUCUUCAAUAGCCUUUUCCAACACAGCAGCUGCAGCUCAUACUGCAGGUUAUCAAUGUGCUGAGCCUUAAUCAAUGGUGAACACAGCUUAUCUUGGUGUCAGCAGCCGGAAAAGGACAAAACUGGAUGUCAUACAGUGACAGCUGGAAGGAAACGUGUCAGUUUGGCCCAGAGGAAUAUCAGAAGGAGAAGGCAGGAGGUAAACCGUUUCUGGGACCACCUGCCCACAGAGAUAUUUCUACACACUAAUGUUUGCACAUUUGUCAUAAAACAUGGAGGUGUAGCAGCCUGUUAUGUCUACUACAUGUUCUAAACAGAACAAUUCUGCCAGCAGCCAGGCCAGCUGACAGCUUUGCCUCAUGGUAUUCUGUUACUAGUGGAAAAUGAAUUCAUACUGACCAUUUAAAGACAUGAUUUAAAAUACAUUUUGUCUCAUUCUUUCCUCUUUCCUCUUCUCCUCCCUUCUUCUUCACUCCUCCCCCUCCUCCACUCUUCUAUCUGUUUGUUCUUAUUGGAACCAGUUCUAGAAGAUAUUCCUUCUGUAAAAAGCAAAUCAUUACUACUGUUAGAGUUGAUCAUUUGAAUAAAAUAGGAAAUCAAACAAAGAUAUAUUUGUUCAACAUAUUUUAAAGGUCUCAAUUUACCACUGGUUGCACUAAUUACCUGAGGAAAUCAUAGUAAAAUUUAAAUAAAAACAAAUACUUUGACAUAAACUCUGAGCUGAGUGCCGUGAGAGUGUGUGUGUGUGUGUGCGUGUGUGUGUGUGCGUGUGUCUGUGUGUGUGUCCUCCUUUUCUCCUGCAGGCUGAGUAAGGCAGGUGUAGCUCCAGCUGCAGGCUGUCAGCCUUUAAAUAGGAGCUGGAUUCCUGUGGCAGUCACCAGACGGUUCUCCAACAUCUUGUGAUUCCUGGUUCAGUGAACAUCCUCCUCCAUAUGGCUCACAGCCGACCUCUGGCUCAGUGGAAAGACAUUUCUCCCAGGGUCACCCUCCUCCUGGUCAGCAGUAAGAUCAAUCUCCUUCCUGCGUGUUGAUCUCAUCCGGUUCCCCUUAUUCUUUCCUCAUCUUCUUCUCCAUCAGUUCGGUCUCACACCAGUCUUCAUUCUCCUGACACUUCCUGUCGCUGCAAAUAAAACUUCUCACUUAC